GACGAACGCUGGCGGCGCGCUUAACACAUGCAAGUCGAGCGAAGCGGCGGACGGGUGAGUAACACGUGAGUAACCUGCCUUAGACAUUGGGAUAGCAGCGGGAAACCGGGAUUAAUACCAAAUGGACUAAGAUGGACUCGCGUCGCAUUAGCCAGUUGGUGAGGUAACGGCCCCCCAAGGCGACGAUGGGUAGCCGGGGUGAGAGGGUGAGCGGCCACAUUGGAACUGAGCAACGGUCCAAACUCUACGGGAGGCGGCAGUGGGUAAUAUUGCACAAUGGAGGGAACUCUGAAGCAGCGACGCCGCGUGAACGAAGAAGGCUUUCGAGUCGUAAAGUUCUUUUAUAUGGGAAGCGGUACCAUAAGAAAAAGCCCCGGCUAACUACGUGCCAGCAGCCGCGGUAAUAC
This 407-nucleotide ribosomal RNA is filed under the name uncultured bacterium. RNAcentral's name for it is "partial 16S ribosomal RNA". It matches the Rfam family "Bacterial small subunit ribosomal RNA", at positions 28 to 526 of the family's 1533-position model. The record is from RNAcentral.